RNAcentral lists this ribosomal RNA (524 nucleotides) under uncultured bacterium. RNAcentral's name for it is "bacterial SSU rRNA". It matches the Rfam family "Bacterial small subunit ribosomal RNA", at positions 30 to 495 of the family's 1533-position model. The record is from RNAcentral.
AUUGAACGCUGGCGGCAUGCCUUACACAUGCAAGUCGAACGGUAACAGGGAGCUUGCUCCGCUGACGAGUGGCGAACGGGUGAGUAAUGUAUCGGAACGUACCAUUCAGUGGGGGAUAACGUAGCGAAAGUUACGCUAAUACCGCAUAUUCUGUGAGCAGGAAAGCAGGGGAUCGCAAGACCUUGCGCUGAUUGAGCGGCCGAUAUCAGAUUAGCUAGUUGGUGAGGUAAAGGCUCACCAAGGCGACGAUCUGUAGCGGGUCUGAGAGGAUGAUCCGCCACACUGGAACUGAGACACGGUCCAGACUCCUACGGGAGGCAGCAGUGGGGAAUUUUGGACAAUGGGGGCAACCCUGAUCCAGCCAUGCCGCGUGAGUGAAGAAGGCCUCGGUUGUAAGUACGUACUUCGGUCCGGGUAAAACGGUAACGGUACGACGUCAGUUAAGUUACCUACGGUGUUGGUAGUGUAGUAGGUACGGAACGUUAAGAAAGACGAACCGGACCGUAACCGUAACGUACGUACCG